UACGUAGGGUGCGAGCGUUAAUCGGAAUUACUGGGCGUAAAGAGUGCGUAGGUGGUUUAUCAAGCUGUAUGUGAAAUACCUGGGCUUAACCUGGGGAUUGCGUGCGGGACUGAUAGGCUAGAGUAUGGUAGAGGGGGGUAGAAUUCCACGUGUAGCAGUGAAAUGCGUAGAGAUGUGGAGGAAUACCGAUGGCGAAGGCAGCCCCCUGGACUGGUACUGACACUGAGGCACGAAAGCGUGGGUAGCAAACAGG
Molecule: unclassified non-coding RNA, 253 nt
Filed under: uncultured Gammaproteobacteria bacterium
Lineage: Bacteria; Pseudomonadati; Pseudomonadota; Gammaproteobacteria
Description: contains 16S-23S intergenic spacer region
Rfam family: Bacterial small subunit ribosomal RNA
Source: RNAcentral